Molecule: long non-coding RNA, 663 nt
Organism: Phyllostomus discolor (pale spear-nosed bat)
Lineage: Eukaryota; Metazoa; Chordata; Mammalia; Chiroptera; Phyllostomidae
Exons: 3
Source: RefSeq, a predicted model, not a curated record
UUGUUGAAUGAAUGACUUAAUGGAUGGAUAGAAAGGGUCUGAGACUCUAUCCUAAGGCCAGUAAAACCUUAAAUCUAAAUAAUAACCCAACCACCUUUUGCAUUUACAUAGCAAUUGAUAUAUUAUGCAAGUGAGUUCUCCCAUUCUGUUCACAUUUUAUUAUUUCCAUUCCCAUUAAAAUAAUCCAAGCCUCACUGCCAGAUUACUCCCCUAAAACAUGAAAUCAGGUCAUGUUCCUACUCAGGUGGAACUAAUCAUGGUGUGUGUAUGCAAUAAGAGGUCAAAGUUGCCAACAAGUUGUUGCUGUUAAUGUUCUGGGAAAUGCUGAAGCUAUGCUACAUAGUGGAGAGGGGGGAGCAGUUAUUGUAGUUAAGAUUGGAAUUUGACAUCAUAUCUGAGAUGUAAAUAGCAGGUUUUAAAUUCUGCCUGUGUGACCCUGGACAAUCGUUUAACUUCUACAGGCCUAGAUGGUUAUAAGCACAUGGAAUGGUAUUUGGGUUUAAUGCAUAGAACUCCUUCAAUGAAUGGUAUUUCCAUAUAUGUAAUAAAAACAAGGCGUUGAAAAGACUAGGGAAAUGCAUCAAGUGUUAAGUCUGCAGGUUAUAGAGUUAUACUUUAAUGUAAUUUUAAAAAUUUAUGUUAAAAGAAUGUAUUUAACCAUUG